AUAAAACCCACCCAGCCAGCCCCCAGCGCAGAUGGCGGCGAGCUGGAAGGAGCGCGCGCCUCGGCUCUGAAGCCCUGGCCAGCUCCUCCGAAGAGCGCGGUGCCCAUGCCAGAGCUGCGCACCUGGGUGUCUCUUCAGGGAUGACAUCAUGGACUCACCCCCUGUCCUCAAGGACCACCUCCCCUGGAUGCCAAGCUGAUGCCAGACGCCUGCCGCCCACCUCCUCCUCACGGUCCUCAUUUGGAUAGGGCACCAAGAGCAUGGUUUCCUGGACCCCUUCACCCCACCCAGCAGCCACCAGCAGACCCCCAGGACCAGCCGCUGCAAGGACAGGACGAAGACGCCCGGAACUGGCCAGCAGCUGUCCCUCGGGGCUGAAGACUUAAACCAAUGCCCUAGUGAGGGGGCACUGGGCCUUUCCCUCUGACCUUCACCCUGCCUGUGGCUUGACUCUUGUCUCUUGUGUGUCAUUGCUGUGUCCACCUGCAAGGCAACUGGUGCUUCCUUCCCCCGGGGUGUCAGUCUUCCUCAACUGACUGCGUCGUCACACACCUUCCCGAGUGGAGUGGUCCCUUUGGGAAUUUCUCAGGAGGGGGACCUGGGCCAAGAGCAACUCCAGGGCCCUGGGCAGGCUUCUGGAAUGAGCAUGUGACUGACUGCCAAUGGCAGGCCCACCUCUCCCAGGACCUCCCUGUCCUUUCUGGGGAGCAGGGAUGCUGAGCAACCUCCUAGGUGGUUGUGAGAAUUAAAUGAGCUAAAGUAGCCCAGGUCUAGGCGGGCAUAGAGGAGGCGGUCAGCAAAUGCUUGUUGAACAGUCUGCCAGCUGUGUUCUGUCCCACCCAGCUUGGUCUUAUUUGUCUUAUUUAUUCUCCCACAGACUCCGACAGCCCCCAUCAUGGGGAUCUCCUUGUGCCAGGCAGGGGCGACACAGAGACACCGGCCAGAGGGUGGACUUGAGUAAGGACAUGAAUUAUGCACAUGGUAACUUUCAGAGCACUUUCUACAUAGCACAAAUGGCACGAUUCAUAUGGAAUCUCCACAUGUCACCAGGUGGCCUUACUGACAGACCUGGGUGAAUUUGGUUUUGAUUUGCUUAAUGUGAAAAAGGUAGGCAGGGAGCAGGAUGAUUACCUCAAGACCUGUCCCACUGGGCAGGUCUUCACAUUUGCAGGGGAAGCUAAAGGGGAGGAAUGUAAGCAUUUUUUCCAUUGCUGGCAAGAGAAGGGGUCAGAGUUGUGCCCUGGGUGGUGUUGUAGCUGCCCCUGAUCCUCCUGGUGCCCCUGGCCUGGAGUUCUUUUAUUUUUCAUCAAACGUUUGACAGUGGGGCAGCCUGUCUGAAAUUGCAGCUGUCCAGGGUGGUCUUGGGGUCUGAGUGGCCACAAGGCCGGUUCCAUGUUCUGCCUGCACCUCUUAAUAACGGUGUGACCUUCAACAAGUUGCUUAACUUCUCCAACUUUUAGUUCCUUUCAUGGGUCUAAAUGGGGAUUGAAAACAAAAAAACAAAACUCAAAAACCCCAACCCUAGUUUAUUUACCCCACAGGGUGCUUUUGAAGGCCAAAUGAUGUAACCCCAAUGAAAGUGCUUUGUAAAUUGCUGUGGAAAUUGCAGGACACUUAAAUCCAGGCCACCCCUUGGUGUCCCCUGUCCAGCCCUCUGCUCCUUUCCUGAUCACAGGCAGCACCCAGCAGGUUCCUCUGGGUGUUUGCACUCAACAAAUAAAUUUCAGAAUCAGUAAAAGUGGAAUUAAUUCAGCAAACAUUUUCUGAAAUGCUGACAAUAUGCCUAAUGUGCCAGGCUAGGUAUGGGACACAAAGAUAAUGAAAACAAUCUCUUGCAAGCUAAUUGGGGUCCUCAUUUGGCCAGUACUUUCUUUGGUCCCCUUUUGAGCCAACCAGUUUUGUCCAGACAAGACAAAAACAACUCUGGGUGGCUUUAGAGAAGCCCAGCUUGGUGUGGACAAUAGCUGCCGAGAGUUUGGAAGGGCCUGAUUGGAUUAUGUGGCAAAUGGAGGUGGAAGGCUGGCUUAGAAGGUAACAAAUGAAGUGGGUGGGGACCUGCUUUGAGUUAAUUCAGGCUAUUAGGAGGGGACCUUUUGUCUUCAGAGACUGGCAGGAGCUUUCACCACUGGUUUUUAUAUCCUUCAUGUUCAGGACCUGUAACUCCUGGCUGGUGACCUCCAGGGCUCAGUGAGAGCCCGGCUGAUGGGGAGGGUCUCUGCUCCCAGUGAGAGGCCAGAGCAAGCGCUGUGUCUCUUUUUGCAAUGGUUCAUUCGUUUGAUCCUCACAACUCCCUGUCCUGACCCAGGACCGGCCUGCCACCACCCAGGGACACAGAGGCUGUCAAGUGGCUCCUCCGAUCCAGCCCCCCCAGGUCCCCAUUGCCUAAGAUUCAACAGGAGACGUGAACCUGUCUCCAGCCUGCACCUCCAUCUCAGCCUCCUUCUUGUCCUGACUCUGCUCUCCUCGAAGCCUGGAGUUCCAGGUCCCUCCUGUCCCCUUCUGGCCACUCCAGUCUCUCUCUUUCCUCCGCAGCCCAGCUUCUCGAAAGGCCUGUCUCCACUGCUUUCCUCCCUCACCUCCAUGUCCUCUUCAACCCAUGCCUCCCGACCCGCUCUGCUCCGCCCAGCGGCUCCCGCCAGUGUCUCACUGUGUCGUCGAGGCUGGCCUUGAACUCAUGGCCAUCCUCCGGCCUCAGCCUCCUGAGUGUUGGGAUCACAGGUGUGUGCCACCACGCCCAGCAUGGUUGGGUCUUUAGAACCCACCUGGGAAGUCCCCUUAAAGCCACAAGCGAGAUCUGAGCUAUCUGCUCCCUAGGGUGCAGGGCUGCACUCUGAACCAUUUCCUAGACUCCUGAGAGGCUCUGUACCAGAGAUGGGUACAGCCCCCCUUCCCCUCCAUGGCUCCUAGGGAGACAGCGGGAGGCAGCUCCAGUCAGAUGGGAAGUGAAAUGUGUGGGGUCCAGAAAGCCUCCCUCAUUUUUCUCAGAAUUGCUAUUUUUUUCUUUUUUGCCUUCACUGCUCCUGUGCUGUUUGCUUUCUCAGUCUCCUGUCUCUUCCUCUCCCUCCCAUUCUAAUGUGGUCCUCUUGGGGUGCCCUAGGCCAGCCCCCCCUCCUCUGGGUGUCCCAGCACCAGCCUGGCAUAGAGUGGGGCUCAGUAAGAGUAUGUGGGACGUCUGUUUGGGCAGGUGGGUGAAUGACGGGCUCGACCGCCACUACGAGCAGCAGUGGGCCACACAGGAGUGCCAGGACCAGGGUGGGGGCUGGGGGUGGGCAGCUCCCCACAGCCCCGAUUGCAGGGGACUGUGGGUCUGGCCCUCAUUCACCCGCGCGUCCAUUCCGUCGGCCAACAGUUGAUCCUAACUGAGCGUGCCCAUGGCGCCAGCCCCGGGCUGGGCACCUGCCACUUAGCGUGUCCCUUGAUGGCCUCUGUUUCCCAGGGAGGGCAGCUGGGGGGUUGUCCCAGGUGCCGGAGCAGCGGGCUCUGGCUUUGUAGUGGGCAGCAAGAGGGUGCGGGGCAGCCUGGAAGCCUGUUGGGUCUUCCACGCAAACCGCACACCUGCCUGUCCCUGGGCCCUGCACCCAGCCCCGUAACUGAGUGUGGACUCCCGGCCUGGUGCACGGGGAAGGCCUUGAGGUGUACCAGGUGUUGGCACAUGAGGACAUGUGGGGGCGCUGUGACUUGGACCCUCCCUCAGCAUCUUCCUCCCUGGGGGCCCUGUUCAGCCCCCUGGUACAUCCUUGCUGGGUGGGGACCAUGUCCCAGGCAAAAGGACAGAUGGCAGGGAACCCCCUGGUCGCCUGCGGGCUCUGCCUCUGACUGGUCCUCCUACCUGCCUGGCCUUCCACUGCUCCUGCCUCUGGUCACUGUGCCCACCUGUCGUGUUGUUGCCCCUCUGCCUUGGUCACUGGGUGUGGUCUGCCCUGCCCAGCCCUCUGUCCUUGCAAGCCCACACUGUGGCCACCUGUCCCACCUGCUGCCCUCAGUCCCUUCCCCAGGUCUAGACUCGACUCCUUAGUUCGCUCAGUGUUGCCUCAGUUUCCAACAGGUUCCUGGUGCCAUGGGCUCCAUGUCUCACUGGCCACCAUGCUGCUCAGAUGCCUCUUCCCUCGGGCCCAGCUUCCGAGGUCCCUGUGGCCAGGGUCCUCAAUGGGCCCGAGACCCCUUGUCAUGUUCUGCCCAUUCCCACUACCAUGUCCCCGAGAGGCCGGGCUCAGCCCCUCCUGGCACCCUGCUGGCCACUUGGUGUUGGUUUCGGGGGGCCACCCUUUCCUGUCCCGACUCGUCCCACCCGGUCACCUCAUACCGCCGAAAAGCAGCCUGCAGCUGGCCUUUUCCACCAUGGCUGUGACCUUGGCUGGUCAGGCUGAAGGACUUCGGACGGAAGUAACGGGGAGGACCCACAGGAGCCACUGCCCAAGACUUCUCCACUCUCUUCUUCCUUCGCCUCCGUCCUGGUUCGGGCCAAAGUUACCACCACUGGGAAACCUGCGUGGGACAGGACUUCGGAUACCUUGCCUGGCACCCCAGUGCCCCCCAGCUCCGAAUCAUGAGGAUGGAAGGACCCGCCUCUCAAACGGGCUUCACUCCGGUGACCUGCGCUCACCCCCUCGAAAUGUCUGGAAAACAUAAUGGGCAGGUUUUCUGUCUUCAAAGUUUCCGGCUAAACCUCUUCAAGUUCUUUAUUGUUUGGGACUGGGACACUCAGGAAUGCCUUCACAGCCACGGGGACGCCCAGCGCACGUUCCCACGGGAGAGGCUGGACCCAGAGAUUCUGGACCGGGCCUCCCCUUGAGUAGAGAGGCGCCCUCUGACCGAUGGACUGCGCUGACCCCGGGGUCAGCCACCCAGCCCUGCACGCUGAGACUUGGGGGAGCUGAGGACCCUCCACUGCCCGCCUCUGUGAAGUGGGCUCGGACACCUGCCUCCCAUCACAGGGCUGCCAAGAGGCACUGGGAUGUGGUUCCAAAACGCCGGGUUGGGCUCGACUUCUCGUGCUCUCAAUAAAUGUUUCUUGUCUUAACCAAA
Heterocephalus glaber (naked mole-rat) is the source of this 5025-nucleotide non-coding RNA. NCBI's taxonomy places the organism in Eukaryota, Metazoa, Chordata, Mammalia, Rodentia, Bathyergidae. The record is from RefSeq and is a predicted model, not a curated record.